UCCGGUGGCGAUAGCGGCGGGGAACCACCCGUCCCCAUUCCGAACACGGAAGUUAAGCCCGCCAGCGCCGAUGGUACUUGGGGUGCAGACCCCCGGGAGAGUAGGACACCGCCGGGC
Molecule: ribosomal RNA, 117 nt
Filed under: bacterium
Lineage: Bacteria
Also listed under: 1 other name
Source: RNAcentral